GAUGAACGCUAGCGGCAGGCCUAAUACAUGCAAGUCGAACGGGUGGUCGCAAGACCACUAGUGGCGCACGGGUGCGUAACGCGUAACCAACCUGCCCCGAUCUGGGGGAUAGCCCGCCGAAAGGCGGAUUAAUACCGCAUAUACCCGCAGCCUGGCAUCAGGCAACGGGGAAAGAUUUAUUGGAUCGGGAUGGGGUUGCGUGACAUUAGCUAGUUGGCGGGGUAAGGGCCCACCAAGGCGACGAUGUCUAGGGGACCUGAGAGGGUGAUCCCCACACUGGCACUGAGAUACGGGCCAGACUCCUACGGGAGGCAGCAGUAGGGAAUAUUGGGCAAUGGGCGAGAGCCUGACCCAGCCAUGCCGCGUGCCGGAUGAAGGCCUUCUGGGUUGUAAACGGCUUUUCUCAGGGAAGAAAAAGACCUUGCGAGGUACACUGACGGUACCUGAGGAAUAAGCACCGGCUAACUCCGUG
Molecule: ribosomal RNA, 472 nt
Filed under: uncultured bacterium
Lineage: Bacteria
Description: partial 16S ribosomal RNA
Rfam family: Bacterial small subunit ribosomal RNA
Source: RNAcentral